Molecule: RNase P RNA, 307 nt
Filed under: Bradyrhizobium sp.
Lineage: Bacteria; Pseudomonadati; Pseudomonadota; Alphaproteobacteria; Hyphomicrobiales; Nitrobacteraceae
Description: partial RNase P RNA component class A
Rfam family: Bacterial RNase P class A
About the family: Ribonuclease P (RNase P) is a ubiquitous endoribonuclease, found in archaea, bacteria and eukarya as well as chloroplasts and mitochondria.
Source: RNAcentral
UCAGUCGGCCGGACGGCCGCUCCGGCAGGUGCCGAAAGGCCGCCGGGGAGGAAAGUCCGGGCUCCAUCGACAUGCGGUGCCGGAUAACGUCCGGCGGGGGCGACCCCAGGGACAGUGCCACAGAGAACGAACCGCUUCCUCCCGAAAGGGAGGCGAGUAAGGGUGAAAAGGUGCGGUAAGAGCGCACCGCGGGGCCGGCAACGGAACCGGCAUGGUAAACCCCACCGGGAGCAAAACCGAAUAGGGACGGCCACGCGGAGACAAUCGCUUUUGGCGAUGACGUCCGCGGGAGCGAUGUCAGGCUCGC